Molecule: long non-coding RNA, 5410 nt
Organism: Mustela erminea (ermine)
Lineage: Eukaryota; Metazoa; Chordata; Mammalia; Carnivora; Mustelidae
Exons: 4
Source: RefSeq, a predicted model, not a curated record
UGACCUCCGCAGGCGCCGGCCGCCUUAACCGUUUGCGCCCCGCGGGCCGCGCGCUCCGCUGCGGACGCCCUGCGCGCCAGGCGGCCCUCGCGCCGCCCCUCCUCCGGCCGCGCCGAGCCCCUCGCUGGUGUUUUUGGAUUCGCCGGGGUUUCAAGCAUCAAGUGCCUCCCAGAUGCUCUUUCUGAUUUUCGCCAGUUUUAUUUCGGGCGGGGGCGGGGGGGGGCGGGCGGUGCUGACCACGAGGCGUCUGCUGCUCCGCGCCACUCCGCGGGCGGCGAUCACAGAACAAACGACCGUUAGGUCCUGAGCAGGUCUCUUCCCGGGCGCUGCUGCCGUCCUUGGGGACAAGGACGGACGCCCCCGCAGCGCGCGGAGGUCACGCGUGGCCCCUGCGGGGAGGCCGGCUCCCGCGCGUGACCUCCGCGCCCGCUGAGCCGUUUUCCGCGGGGCCAGAACGCUCGCAGCGACCCUGCUGGAACCUGCCGGUGGCGCUUCUAGCACCGGGAAGAAAGGUCAGGAAAGCGGCGGAGCCCGACCUGGGUCCAUGCGGCGACCCAAAGGAAGGACGGGGGACACCUGCGUCCAAACAGGUCCCUGGGCCCCACCUCACUUGGCUGGGAGAUGCUCGGCUGGCCAUGGGGCCGUGAGCCACGGGCGGACUGGAGGAACUCGGACGUCCAGCUGUCCCACAGUGAACACGCUUCUCCACGCACGCAGUGACAAGGACAUGUGCAUAUAACCAAAGGGGGCCGCUUCUUACAGGAAGGACAGCAUAAAGCACUGCCCUGUACCUGUGUGGCCCUUUGCUCCUGCUCUAGUCCCCGAGGUUGUUCUGCAGUUUAAAACAGCAUUAGCAGAGCUUACUAUAUCCCAGGCGCGUUUAGUCCAGUUAACGGCAAAGGCUAGAAGCCAUAUAAAACUUUUAAGAAAUGGAGGCUUAACUCCCUCUUUCUUUGCCUUCAUUCGUCCAGAGGACUCCCAUGGUGAUCAUGGACUGCGUGAGCGCCGCAGUUACAUCUGCUUCCAAAUGCAAACACACUGAAAGGGCGGCCCCAUCCUCGGUGGCCAUAGUCCCCACUGAGCUCACCUGGUCUCUGCCAGAGCUCCCUCCUGGCUCCACGUCACAUCAUCAUCACUACAGACAUACAAGGUUUGUCUCCUUGUCCCCGUUGUCCCACACCCAAGCGGAGGAGAGACAGGACACAACACAUCACCAGUUUCUAGACAGCGUCUCUACACAUCUUCCAGCAAAAAGAGCAGAAGGCUCAGGCCACGGAGAAGAAUCCAUUGUUCUGUUGGGUGGGAGCCAAUUAAGACUGCUGUCAACCGAGAAUUUUGGUCCUGUCUGUGGAUGCCUUUCGCGUCACCCCAGAAGAGUGUGGAGCGGCUCUCAGCACAGGCAUGUGUCCUCCGGUUCCCUCCUCUCUCAUGAAAGGCUUUAACCUCAUAGCCCACGAGGCUCCUGUUAAAGCCUCAGAGCCUCGUCCCCGGUCAGCACUGGGGUAGACCCGCAGUCAGGUGCCCCUGAACCGCACCUGAGCUCAGCCGAGGGACGCUGAUUGCGUUGGUUGGCUCACUGGUACCUGGAGGACGGUCUCUCCCCAGCCAGCGCCAGGCAGGCAGAUGGCGACCGGCCUAGCCGUGUGUCGCCGUCACUGCCUCGGAGGUGCUGUGGCUGAAGUGGACCGUCGUCUGGAUGGAAGCCCACAUUAAGUAGUUCCGUGAAGGUCACUGGAGCCACCGUGGGUUCGUUACCGACGGCCUUCGUUACCGAUGGCGUUCUUUCGUUAGGCGGCGCCCUAUUUUUUGGGCAUAAGGACGGUCCAGUGCUAAACGUGAGAGGUGCGAGGCAGGAAAAAAUCAUUUAGAAACACACACGCUGAAAAUUACGCAGGAUUGGAAGACGUCUUACCACUACAGUGUUUUAUGAGCAUCACGUCAACCAGGAACUUACCCCAGUCUGGGCUCCCCAGAAGCAGAUCCUGAGGCCGCCGUGGGGACCGAGGAAUGUAUCUGGAACGCAAGCCCGGAAAGCACAGAUGAAGAAAGGGACAAAGUGAAACAGGGAACGGACACAGGUGAAUCAAAGCUCCCCUGGGGCCUCUGAGAAGCAGCGCGGGGCAGAGGGGGUCCGAUCCCCCUGGCUACGGGCGGCAAGCUAAGCUUCAUCCCUCCACUCCCAUCUCCCUGGACCGUGGGUCUCGGCUGGGGGGUGGCCUCCAACUCCACAGAGCCUUAUGUCGUGAGAGCAGGAAGCACACGGGUCCCACGUGGACCACUGGCCACGGUGAGCGGUGGUGGUGAGUGGUAGUGAGCAGAGCCAAUGCUGCUUCUCCGGCUUGGUGCCCAACGCUGCUUCUAGAUCCUGAGACACGACACCCAGUAAAAGCCAUUGGCCCAGCACGUGUGCUGCGUCUUGGAGGACAGGUCUCUAGCCUGAGGAAGUCAUCACCAAGCGGGAUCCCUGCAGGGCCCCAUCCAGUGAGAAGAACUGCUUCUUCCCUCAGACCUGGGGAGAUGUCACCAGCUCACCACCAAGCAGCUGGCGUUACUGAGCAGCAGGUUCGAAUCUGCCCGCACCGUGGGCAGCCGGGUCACUGUGGGUGAGAGGGAGUCCCUGCUGUAGACCUCUUGCCCACCUCUGCCCCUGCCACUGUGGCAGCAGGGCUGGCGGGCGAGGCCCGGGCUUCUUCCCUGGUGACAGAUGCCAUUGGCGCGCCUGCUUGCUGGGUGCCCCUUCCUCCCUGAUGCUCUCUGGAGACCGAGGCAGGAGUCUAGACCCACAGGACCCCUCUACCUCCUUGUAAGGCCCACCCAGCCCUUCCCCAGGGCCCUCCUCCCUCAGGUGGAGCCCUGCCGCCCCUCCUGUCCACCGUGUGCACCUGCUCAAGAGGAGGGGGCCAGCUCAAAGCUUCACUGGCCCGAGGGCUUCUUCUCCCCUUGUCCUGUCGCCCGCCCUGGAGCUGGAAGGGAGCGCGGCAACAGUCCAUACGGCCUUUUGUGGUUCACACCAAGUUAGCAAUGUCACAGGUGCAAGCUGAGCGGCUUUGGGAACCCGGCCGAUGGAGGCAGAUGACUCGGAGGUCUGGGCCAUUUGUGUCAACAGCUUAUGGGUGACCUCCAGACCUGCUCCCACCCCAGCCCAGCCCACCCCGCCGUGCAGGAUGACGGGCAGCCGUGCGGGCUGCCUGGACGCUGUCUUCCAGACCACCCCAGAACAUCUCCUCGGACAUCUUGCUAGGGGGCUCUAGCAGCCUCAGGGAGGCGCACUCUGGUUCUCCCCAUGGGGGCCGUGCUGCACCCACACUCCCCGAGACCCUCCACACUGCCCCGCCUGCUCCCUCACUGCCCCCCAGCAGGAGGAGUCACCCCUGCCUGGACUAAGGGCCAGCUCUGGGUGCCAGCGUGCUAGUCCCGAGACAGAGGCCCCAUCAGAGCCCCGUCCCCAGGCUUACUUGCUUCUCCCACGCCACCCAGCCACCCACCGUCCUAGGCAGGGGGAGCAGCACAGGCCCACAGCCCCUCUGAUGAACGAGCCUUCCUCCAACAGCUGCUGUGGUGUGCCCUCCAGGCCUGCCGAGGCUUGCCCAGUUGCUGGUCUAGAGGCCCUGAGUGAAGACAACCCCCGGGCCACAAAACAGGGCCUUUGCAAACCCCAGGAAGGCCGCACUUCCCUAGCAAAGGAGAGGGACCGUUUUUCUUGUCUUGGAGAGAUCAGGAAAUCGGGAGCCCAAGUUUCUCAAAACCUCCACGCAGGCCCCCCUUCCAGGUCCCAGGGACUGUCACCCCAAACCCAGCUCUGGACUCAGCCCCAGAGGUCUGCCCAGGUGGGGUCUGCCCAGGUGGGGUCUCCCCAGCUUUGUCGACCGGCCACAUGUGCGACGAGGGCUGAGCCCCCUCAUGGCAGGGGUGGGUGAUUUCUCACACUGCGAGGGGGGCUUCCGCGGGUGAGCUCCCUGAGCUGUCGCUGUCUUUCUCCUGAGACUCCUCCGCCGCGAGCACAGCAGACUUCACGGUCCUCACAACCGUCACGGCUCCAUAUCCUUCAGGCACUGGGGUGGUUCCACGUGCUAAUGCUGCCCUUGCCCCUGCUCUGCGCUCCCAUUCAGCACAGACGGGACAGUCGUCGUCGUCGUGAGGCUCGGAAGGGGGGAGGGGUUAGCCCCUUCUCGUAGCACGAGCAACCGCGUCUGUGACCGUUCAUUCCACAUGCCAACUCGACUGGGCCACAGAACGUCCAAAUAGUUGGUUGAACAUUAUUCUGGGCAUGUCUGUGAGGGUAGUUUUGGCUGAGAUUAACAUUUGAAUCAGUAGACUGAGCAAAGCCGGAGCCCUCCCCCAACGUGGGUGGGCCUCACCUAAUCAGUCGCAGGCCCGAACAGACCACAAAUACCAACCGUCUCCCCUGAGUAAGGGAAACUCCUCCAGCAGGUGCCUUCCGACUGCACAUCGGCUCCACCCGAGGCUCCAGGCUGCAGGCCCACCUACAGAGCGGACUUACCAGCCUCCAUAACCACAUGGGCCCAUUGCUUAGGGUCAGUCCCCUUACACGUGUCUUACUGGUUGUGUUUCUCUGGAGAACCCUGUUACGGCGUCCUGCAGCUGGGCCAUCUGGCUGCCAUCAGACAGGACAUCUCACAUGGCGUUGCUGUAACCUGAUAGUCAGUCCCUCUGGUCCUGACAGCUGGGUUCCGCACACAGGCGCCCAGAACAGAGCCCCCCCAGGGUAGGUGCCCGGCAGCACAAGUCGGUGCCCCAGCAUCCUUCCGAGGAGACCAGCAAGGUCGCUGGCGGUCAGUCACAGACUUCCACAUUGAAAAGUCAGAGUCCAUGACACCACGGGCUCUCCGUUCCUCCUGCCGGCCAUCUGCACUCUAAGGGCGGCUUCUGGAAUGUUCUCGUCUCUCCUCAUCAACCCUCAGGGCCCCCUACCCGAGGCCCCUUUAUCACCCCAAACUCCUAUGCUCUGCAAUCAGUUAGUUUUAAACUGUUAUUAGCAUUUUAUUUGUAGAAUAGACUCCUGCUACAACUCCUGCGAGUUUUUACUUAGCACUGAUAUUACACUCAGCCUUGGCUUUGUGUGGUCUUGGUGUCGGGUCUCUGGUCUGUGGCUCUGGGGGAGCCGUAUUUGUAAACACGUGUUCAGCACCCCGACUGGUGCAGGCGUGUUGGCGGGGCAGACUUCCAGGGCGGCAGUGCCCUGGGCUCAGUGACCCGCGCUGUCUCCCAGCCUUAGGUGCAGGUGGAGGUCCUGGACGACUUUGGCGCUGGUGUUCUUUGUAGAUAACCUGUUCUUUCAGUGGAGAAACCUGCAGGAUUUUCUUAGUGUGAGAGAUCACCACCUGCGUCAGGAUAUGAUCAGGACAUGUUUGUGUGUGCACACGUGUGUGCGCCUGUGCGUGUGCCCUGU